This 544-nucleotide long non-coding RNA is filed under the name Lathyrus oleraceus (garden pea). RNAcentral describes it as "Pisum sativum (pea) long non-coding RNA (PSAT_LNC033005)". Lineage: Eukaryota; Viridiplantae; Streptophyta; Magnoliopsida; Fabales; Fabaceae. The record is from RNAcentral.
UUAUGAAUGGGGGUUGUCAAAAAUCAUGAAAUAAUUAAAUCAGGCCCAAACAACAAAAUGACUCGAAAUAUGAGUGUAAGUGCAAGAGAACCGGCUCAUUGUAAGAAAGCCCAAGAGUAAGCUAUGUGAGGUUGAUGGCGAUGCUUAAAAAGCAAUCGACUUACAAGGGUGUGGAAAACGGGCUCGAUAUUAAAUCGAGAAAAUAUGAUUUUAAUAGUUUUAAAAUGGUUUUGAAUGAAUGAUGAAAUUACAAGAAAAACAAAUUUGUAUUAUUAACAAAUGAAACUAUGAGUAUAAUAAAGGCAUAAACAUAAAAAGAAAAUGUUAAAAGAAAUAGAAUACUAAAGGAAAAUAAAAUGCUAAAAGAAAAAUAAAAUACUAAACAAAAAAAUGCUACACAUGAGUAUUGAACCCACUCCACUCAAGACUAUGGAAACCACCCCUCUCUCCACUAAACCACUUAUAAUUAGUUAACAUUUAAAUAACAACAUAAAUAUAUAAGUCAUACUAGAUUGGAACAAAAAAUGAAAAAGAAACUAAAAUA